This 350-nucleotide ribosomal RNA is filed under the name Lithodytes lineatus (gold-striped frog). RNAcentral's name for it is "partial 12S ribosomal RNA". The record is from RNAcentral. Lineage: Eukaryota; Metazoa; Chordata; Amphibia; Anura; Leptodactylidae.
GCAAUCAACUUUUACUUGACUUACACAUGCAAGUAUCCGCACCCCCGUGAAAACGCCCUUACAUCCCCUAUAGGGAUAAGGAGCUGGUAUCAGGCACAAAAUUUAGCCCAAAACACCUAGCUUAGCCACACCCCCACGGGAAUUCAGCAGUGAUCAACAUUGAACAUCAGCGUCAGCUGGAUUCAGUUAAAGUUUAUAGAGCCGGCUAAUCUGGUGCCAGCCGCCGCGGUUACCCCAUGUGGCUCAAGUUGAUUUCCUCCGGCGUAAAGCGUGAUUUAAGAGACUUAUUUUGAUAUCAAAUUUUUACUAAGCCGUGACACGCUUGUACAAAAGAAGACCUAAAACGAAAG